Molecule: ribosomal RNA, 253 nt
Filed under: uncultured bacterium
Lineage: Bacteria
Description: partial 16S ribosomal RNA
Rfam family: Bacterial small subunit ribosomal RNA
Source: RNAcentral
UCCGGAGGGUGCAAGCGUUAAUCGGAAUUACUGGGCGUAAAGCGCAUGCAGGUGGUUUGUUAAGUCAGAUGUGAAAGCCCUGGGCUCAACCUAGGAAUCGCAUUUGAAACUGACAAGCUAGAGUACUGUAGAGGGGGGUAGAAUUUCAGGUGUAGCGGUGAAAUGCGUAGAGAUCUGAAGGAAUACCGGUGGCGAAGGCGGCCCCCUGGACAGAUACUGACACUCAGAUGCGAAAGCGUGGGGAGCAAACAGG